GUCAUCACUUCAUUUUUUUGCACCUGCGCAUAAAUCUGAGAAACGUGAGUUUGUCAUCAUUGUUUAUCUAGACAUAGGAUAGGUUGUGUGAAAAUAUUACUGAUGUUUAACGUUAAAAAUGGACCAAAGGAUUAAUGCUAAACAACGUUUGACAUGUUUGAAUGAACGUAAAUAGAUUAUUUACUAGGUUUUUUUAGCUUUUCGGCGUGAUUUUACACCCCCCCCCACCACGUUUUGUGGGAGCAUAAUGAACGCUAACUACUUGGUGUUAUUUGGACAUAAAUUAUGAACUUUGUCAAAAGAAACCACAUUUGUUCCGGACCUGGGAUUCCUGGCAGUGCCUUCUGAUGGAGAUAAUCAAAGUGUUUUUCCUUCAAUAAAGAAGAAGAUGAUAAAUAUACCCGCUGCAUUUUGGUCCACUCCUUACGACGUCUGUUACAAAUAGUACACAUUUUCCGGCAAACAACAGUAGGAUCCAAAGGUUACCUCCCACAGGAGGGAGAGGCAGAAUAUUAUCAGAUGCGCAG
RNAcentral lists this long non-coding RNA (527 nucleotides) under Salmo salar (Atlantic salmon). Its description in RNAcentral is "lncRNA (ENSSSAG00000084719.1, ENSSSAG00000121072.1)". The record is from RNAcentral. Lineage: Eukaryota; Metazoa; Chordata; Actinopteri; Salmoniformes; Salmonidae.